AUUGAACGCUGGCGGCAGGCUUAACACAUGCAAGUCGAGCGGGGAAAGGUAGCUUGCUACCUGACCUAGCGGCGGACGGGUGAGUAAUGCUUAGGAAUCUGCCUAUUAGUGGGGGACAACAUCUCGAAAGGGAUGCUAAUACCGCAUACGUCCUACGGGAGAAAGCAGGGGACCUUCGGGCCUUGCGCUAAUAGAUGAGCCUAAGUCGGAUUAGCUAGUUGGUGGGGUAAAGGCCUACCAAGGCGACGAUCUGUAGCGGGUCUGAGAGGAUGAUCCGCCACACUGGGACUGAGACACGGCCCAGACUCCUACGGGAGGCAGCAGUGGGGAAUAUUGGACAAUGGGGGGAACCCUGGUCCAGCCAUGCCGCGUGUGUGAAGAAGGCCUUUUGGUUGUAAAGAACUUUAAGCGAGGAGGAGGCUACCGAGAUUAAUACUCUUGGAUAGUGGACGUUACUCGCAGAAUAAGCACCGGCUAACUCUGUG
Molecule: ribosomal RNA, 485 nt
Filed under: uncultured bacterium
Lineage: Bacteria
Description: partial 16S ribosomal RNA
Rfam family: Bacterial small subunit ribosomal RNA
Source: RNAcentral